RNAcentral lists this unclassified non-coding RNA (329 nucleotides) under soil metagenome. RNAcentral describes it as "partial contains 5.8S ribosomal RNA, internal transcribed spacer 2, and large subunit ribosomal RNA". The stretch from base 1 to 120 matches the Rfam family "5.8S ribosomal RNA", at positions 35 to 154 of the family's 154-position model. The record is from RNAcentral.
GAUGAAGAACGUAGCGAAAUGCGAUAAGUAGUGUGAAUUGCAGAAUUCAGUGAAUCAUCGAAUCUUUGAACGCACAUUGCGCCCCUUGGUAUCCCGAGGGGCAUGCCUGUUCGAGCGUCAUUUCACCACUCAAGCCUGGCUUGGUGUUGGGCGACGUCCUCUUUGGGGACGCGCCUCGAAACGCUCGGCGGCGUGGCACCGGCUUUAAGCGUAGCAGAAUCUUUCGCUUUGGAAGUCGGGGCCCCGUCUGCCGGAAGACCUGCUCGCAAGGUUGACCUCGGAUCAGGCAGGGAUACCCGCUGAACUUAAGCAUAUCAAUAAGCAGAGGA